UACUGUUGAAGAGCAACCCGGUCGGCAG
Molecule: non-coding RNA, 28 nt
Filed under: Bombyx mori (domestic silkworm)
Lineage: Eukaryota; Metazoa; Arthropoda; Insecta; Lepidoptera; Bombycidae
Source: RNAcentral